ACGCUAGCUACAGGCUUAACACAUGCAAGUCGAGGGGCAUCAGGAAGAAAGCUUGCUUUCUUUGCUGGCGACCGGCGCACGGGUGAGUAACACGUAUCCAACCUGCCCUUUACUCGGGGAUAGCCUUUCGAAAGAAAGAUUAAUACCCGAUAGCAUAAUGAUUCCGCAUGGUUUCAUUAUUAAAGGAUUCCGGUAAAGGAUGGGGAUGCGUUCCAUUAGGUUGUUGGUGAGGUAACGGCCCACCAAGCCUUCGAUGGAUAGGGGUUCUGAGAGGAAGGUCCCCCACAUUGGAACUGAGACACGGUCCAAACUCCUACGGGAGGCAGCAGUGAGGAAUAUUGGUCAAUGGGCGCUAGCCUGAACCAGCCAAGUAGCGUGAAGGAUGAAGGCUCUAUGGGUCGUAAACUUCUUUUAUAUAAGAAUAAAGUGCAGUAUGUAUACUGUUUUGUAUGUAUUAUAUGAAUAAGGAUCGGCUAACUCCGUGCCAGCAGCCGCGGUAAUACGGAGGAUCCGAGCGUUAUCCGGAUUUAUUGGGUUUAAAGGGAGCGUAGGUGGACUGGUAAGUCAGUUGUGAAAGUUUGCGGCUCAACCGUAAAAUUGCAGUUGAUACUGUCAGUCUUGAGUACAGUAGAGGUGGGCGGAAUUCGUGGUGUAGCGGUGAAAUGCUUAGAUAUCACGAAGAACUCCGAUUGCGAAGGCAGCUCACUGGACUGCAACUGACACUGAUGCUCGAAAGUGUGGGUAUCAAACAGGAUUAGAUACCCUGGUAGUCCACACAGUAAACGAUGAAUACUCGCUGUUUGCGAUAUACAGUAAGCGGCCAAGCGAAAGCAUUAAGUAUUCCACCUGGGGAGUACGCCGGCAACGGUGAAACUCAAAGGAAUUGACGGGGGCCCGCACAAGCGGAGGAACAUGUGGUUUAAUUCGAUGAUACGCGAGGAACCUUACCCGGGCUUAAAUUGCAGUGGAAUGAUGUGGAAACAUGUCAGUGAGCAAUCACCGCUGUGAAGGUGCUGCAUGGUUGUCGUCAGCUCGUGCCGUGAGGUGUCGGCUUAAGUGCCAUAACGAGCGCAACCCUUACCUUUAGUUACUAACAGGUCAUGCUGAGGACUCUAGAGAGACUGCCGUCGUAAGAUGUGAGGAAGGUGGGGAUGACGUCAAAUCAGCACGGCCCUUACGUCCGGGGCUACACACGUGUUACAAUGGGGGGUACAGAAGGCAGCUAGCGGGUGACCGUAUGCUAAUCCCAAAAGCCUCUCUCAGUUCGGAUCGAAGUCUGCAACCCGACUUCGUGAAGCUGGAUUCGCUAGUAAUCGCGCAUCAGCCACGGCGCGGUGAAUACGUUCCCGGGCCUUGUACACACCGCCCGUCAAGCCAUGGGAGCCGGGGGUACCUGAAGUACGUAACCGCAAGGAUCGUCCUAGGGUAAAACUGGUGACUGGGGCUAA
This 1448-nucleotide ribosomal RNA is filed under the name uncultured organism. Its description in RNAcentral is "SSU rRNA". It matches the Rfam family "Bacterial small subunit ribosomal RNA". The record is from RNAcentral.